This 478-nucleotide ribosomal RNA is filed under the name uncultured bacterium. Its description in RNAcentral is "partial 16S ribosomal RNA". It matches the Rfam family "Bacterial small subunit ribosomal RNA", at positions 28 to 523 of the family's 1533-position model. The record is from RNAcentral.
GACGAACGCUGGCGGCGUGCUUAACACAUGCAAGUCGAGCGAUGAAGCUUCUUCGGAAGUGGAUUAGCGGCGGACGGGUGAGUAACACGUGGGUAACCUGCCUCAUAGAGGGGAAUAGCCUUUCGAAAGGAAGAUUAAUACCGCAUAAGAUUGUAGUACCGCAUGGUGCAGCAAUUAAAGGAGUAAUCCGCUAUGAGAUGGACCCGCGUCGCAUUAGCUAGUUGGUGAGGUAACGGCUCACCAAGGCGACGAUGCGUAGCCGACCUGAGAGGGUGGUCGGCCACAUUGGGACUGAGCCACGGCCCAGACUCCUACGGGAGGCAGCAGUGGGGAAUAUUGCACAAUGGGGGAAACCCUGAUGCAGCAACGCCGCGUGAGUGAUGACGGUCUUCGGAUUGUAAAGCUCUGUCUUCAGGGACGAUAAUGACGGUACCUGAGGAGGAAGCCACGGCUAACUACGUGCCAGCCGCCGCCGUAA